This 465-nucleotide ribosomal RNA is filed under the name uncultured bacterium. Its description in RNAcentral is "partial 16S ribosomal RNA". It matches the Rfam family "Bacterial small subunit ribosomal RNA", at positions 28 to 507 of the family's 1533-position model. The record is from RNAcentral.
GACGAACGCUGGCGGCGUGCUUAACACAUGCAAGUCGAACGGAAAGGCCCUGCUUGCAGGGUACUCGAGUGGCGAACGGGUGGGUAACACGUGGGUGAUCUGCCCUGCACUUCGGGAUAAGCCUGGGAAACUGGGUCUAUUACCGGAUAGGAGCCAUUUUUAGUGGGAUGGUUGGAAAGAUUUUUCGGUGUAGGAUGAGCUCGCGGCCUAUCGGCUUGUUGGUGGGGUAAUGGCCUACCAAGGCGGCGACGGGUAGCCGGCCUGAGAGGGUGGACGGCGACCCUGGGACUGAGGUGCGGCCCAGAUGCGUACGGGAGGCAGCAGUGGGGAAUAUUGCACAAUGGGCGCAAGCCUGAUGCAGCGACGCCGCGUGGGGGAUGACGGCCUUCGGGUUGAAAACUACUUUCGCUAGGGACGAAGCUUUUUGUGACGGUACCUAGAUAAGAAGCACCGGCUAACUACGUG